CCUACGGGUGGCAGCAGUGAGGAAUAUUGGUCAAUGGCCGUAAGGCUGAACCAGCCAAGUAGCGUGAGGGAAGACUGCCCUAUGGGUUGUAAACCUCUUUUAUGCGGGGAUAAAGGUGUCCACGUGUGGAUGUUUGCAGGUACCGCAUGAAUAAGGACCGGCUAAUUCCGGGCCAGCAGCCGCGGUACUACGGAAGGUCCGGGCGUUAUCCGGAUUGAUUGGGUUUAAAGGGAGCGUAGGCCGGUCUGUAAGCGUGCAGUGAAAUUUUGUGGCUCAACCAUGAGAGUGCGGCGCGAACUGGAGACCUUGAGUGUGAGGAAGGCAGGCAGAAUUCGUGGUGUAGCGGUGAAAUGCGUAGAUAUCACGAAGAACCCCGAGUGCGAAGGCAGCAAGCCG
Molecule: ribosomal RNA, 396 nt
Filed under: uncultured bacterium
Lineage: Bacteria
Description: partial 16S ribosomal RNA
Rfam family: Bacterial small subunit ribosomal RNA
Source: RNAcentral